CCCUGGUUAGCUAAUUGGUAAAGCGAGCGGUUUAUAGCCGAACGAAUGUGGGUUCGAAUCCCUCACCAGGGAC
Molecule: transfer RNA, 73 nt
Filed under: Streptomyces phage MeganTheeKilla
Lineage: Duplodnaviria; Heunggongvirae; Uroviricota; Caudoviricetes; Stanwilliamsviridae
Description: tRNA-Ile
Rfam family: tRNA
About the family: Transfer RNA (tRNA) molecules are approximately 80 nucleotides in length.
Source: RNAcentral